This 434-nucleotide ribosomal RNA is filed under the name uncultured Lachnospiraceae bacterium. RNAcentral describes it as "partial 16S ribosomal RNA". It matches the Rfam family "Bacterial small subunit ribosomal RNA", at positions 341 to 792 of the family's 1533-position model. Lineage: Bacteria; Bacillati; Bacillota; Clostridia; Lachnospirales; Lachnospiraceae. The record is from RNAcentral.
ACGGAAGGCAGCAGUGGGGAAUAUUGCACAAUGGGGGAAACCCUGAUGCAGCGACGCCGCGUGAGUGAAGAAGUUAUUCGUAAUGUAAAGCUCUAUCAGCAGGGAAGAAAAUGACGGUACCUGACUAAGAAGCCCCGGCUAACUACGUGCCAGCAGCCGCGGUAAUACGUAGGGGGCAAGCGUUAUCCGGAUUUACUGGGUGUAAAGGGAGCGUAGACGGUCUAGCAAGUCUGAUGUGAAAGGCAGGGGCUCAACUCCUGGACUGCAUUGGAAACUGUUAGUCUUGAGUGUCGGAGAGGUAAGCGGAAUUCCUAGUGUAGCGGUGAAACGCGUAGAUAUUAGGAGGAACACCAGUGGCGAAGGCGGCUUACUGGACGAUAACUGACGUUGAGGCUCGAAAGCGUGGGGAGCAAACAGGAUUAGAUACCCUGGUA